AGAGUUGUUCUGGACUUGCUUUGCACGCGGGCUCCCCGCACGCCUGUGUGGCCAACCGUCGUGGAGCUUGUCUCUUCAGCGUCCCGCUUGAUGCGUUCUUUAGCUAUGUCUGGACGAUCGUUUGUUCGUGCCUGUGUUGUUACCCCAUCGGAACGGAGAUCGUCUUGUGACGGCAUAUAUCAUGUUGCCUUUGAUUUUGGUUUCGGUGAAGCACGCGGGCAUUUGAGACGUCGGCUUUCUGAUCGAGGCUGAGCGAUCGAUGGGUCUUUGACUCGUCCGCGGCUCGCCUUGUAAUAUAGCUGCCUCUUGCGGACGCUGUCGCUAUGCGGGUUUUGCGGUCCUCUCGGUCCGCACGUACCCUUGUAGUUCCCUCGCGGCAGGUCAUCGCGCUAGUGCUAUCUCCAUUUCGCUCUUAGCCGAGUAGGUCGGAGCGAGUCGGGGAUAUGCGGAUGCGGGUUUGCGGGCGGUGCUGGUACGUUGCGGAGUUCUAUGAUUUAUGAGUGAUUGCCGGUGCGUGCGCGUGGAACGGUCUCCCGUCUGGGCGUGCCUCGGCGGCACGCAGGCUCACUUUUAUGACGUGCUACCUGGUUGAUCCUGCCAGUAGUCU
Molecule: unclassified non-coding RNA, 607 nt
Filed under: Scleria lithosperma
Lineage: Eukaryota; Viridiplantae; Streptophyta; Magnoliopsida; Poales; Cyperaceae
Description: partial external transcribed spacer 1
Source: RNAcentral